UAUGUAUGUAUGUAUGUAUGUAGCGACGCUGCAGCAGCUCAACAUGUCGUAUGAUAAACAUGAACUUUGCAUUCUAAUUGCCGUUUUCAAGGUGAGAUUCGCACAGUGCGCGGCGUACCAACUUAAUUACCGCUGUUUAAAUGCUUGUGACUGGCGUUUACUUUUAGCCAGCCGUUGCAGUCAUGCAAUAUUUGCUUACAAAUGUGUCUAUAUAUACCUACAUAUGUAUAUCUAUCGAAAUUAUAAGCAACACCAUUACAUUAGAGAGUCACAUUCACACUGUCACUCCAUAGUCACUGCUAUGGAGGUUUACAGAAUGCGCACAACUACAACGACACACAGAGUUAUAUUGGUAAAUACAUAUACAUAUAUUCACAUGAUCAAUAAUGGCAAUUGGAACCAUAAAAUCCCUAGCGAGCGCAACAAAUACGCGCGUCGACCAAUGGCAGCUAGUUGGUUGGGUAACCUUGACUGAGUGGCAGCGCAGUUAGCUUAAGCACAGUCGCUGCUUGGUCGGUGCAUGCAGCUACUAUGUGGCAAGAUCGUUAUAAUCCGAUGUUUGAGCCGACAUUCGUCCGUAGUCAUUAGAUGCUGAAAGCUUUUAAUUGACGCUUGAAAUGCUUUAUGCGUUGCCAUCUGCCUUGAAAUUUAGAAACCGUUCAAAUUAAUAAGGUCAAGAAAUACUUUGACAUUAUACUAUGUUUGAGAAAGCUCAGAUUUGAAAGUUUUUCAAUCUCGAGAACUUGCUAAAGAAAUUCAAAAGUAUAAAUUUUUUCUCAAUGAUGACAUGCCUUACCAAAAGGGUAUCAUAUAACGGGAGAUCCCAGUAGAGGUUCUCUUUUCAAUUCAUAUUACGCCUGAGCCGCGUUAAGUUGUCAUUUUAAUUUUGUUCAGUAUUGUUUGGCAUUUCAUCAUGUAAAGACUUACGCCCGAACAACGUUUAAAAAUUGUUUAACUUUAUUACAAAAAUUCACGUUCUGUAAAGGAAGUGGUUCGCGCGCUUCGCUUAACUUAUGUUCAUCAUUUUCCGCUUACUGAGCGUCCUAUUUACCACACCAUCAUCCAUAAUAAAGCUCAGCAUUCAUUGCUGGAUAAUAUUCGAUCGAAUACACCACGUCCAGAACGCAGUUAAAAAAGUAUAGCAGCCGUAGCUGAAAGUGUACACGAAGACCGUGGAGAGUCGAUUCGGCGCCAUUCGCAGUAACUCGGGCUAACAUAUGGAAACUUGGGGUAUUUUAUGUCGAGAUCUUAAGCUGAAAGUGUACAAAAUACAUCGGCUGUGGGGAUACGUAAAGUCUAAAGUCUAAGCGGACAAUCCCCGUUCGAUUCAAGCCUUGGAGAAAAACAUCACGCGUGUCAUUCAUCAGUUACAAGUCGAAGUGAUCGAACGAGUCAUCGAAAAUUAGACUCAACGGAUGGAGACGUAGUGGCGGUCAACAUUUGAAAGACAUAAUCUUAAAAAAAUAAAUGCCAAAGAAUGUUCUUUCGAUGAUAAUAAACAUUCCCCAUUCAAUUUGAA
Molecule: long non-coding RNA, 1519 nt
Organism: Bactrocera neohumeralis
Lineage: Eukaryota; Metazoa; Arthropoda; Insecta; Diptera; Tephritidae
Exons: 2
Source: RefSeq, a predicted model, not a curated record